Alligator mississippiensis (American alligator) is the source of this 2098-nucleotide RNA transcript. It is a transcript of the gene named 5-phosphohydroxy-L-lysine phospho-lyase, with no coding region annotated. NCBI's taxonomy places the organism in Eukaryota, Metazoa, Chordata, Crocodylia, Alligatoridae. The transcript is spliced from 13 exons. The record is from RefSeq and is a predicted model, not a curated record.
CCUCCUCCUCCCGGCGCUGGUCGGGCUCAGCCCAGCCACGGCAGCCAUGAGCGCGGCACGGCGCUGCCGGCAGGACACGCUGGCCUGGCGCCUGCAACUCAUCGGGUCUUCUUGCAAGCUCUUCUUUCCCAAAGAUCCAGUGAAGAUUGUCAGGGCAAAAGGCCAGUAUAUGUAUGAUGAAAAUGGAAGACAGUACCUUGACUGCAUUAACAAUGUGGCUCAUGUUGGACACUGCCACCCUGAUGUAGUAAAUGCAGCCAAUGAACAGAAUCAGUUGCUAAAUACAAAUUCUCGUUAUCUCCAUGACAAUAUAGUGGAUUAUGCAAGAAGACUUUCCAAAACGCUGCCUGAGAAGUUGUGCACCUUCUAUUUUUUGAAUUCAGGAUCAGAAGCCAAUGACCUUGCCCUGAGAUUGGCACGACAACAUACAAAACACACAGAUGUUAUUGUGUUAGAUCAUGCUUACCAUGGACAUCUGACAUCCUUGAUUGACAUAAGUCCAUAUAAAUUCAGAAAUCUAGAAGGACAGAAGGAUUGGGUCCAUGUGGCUCCUAUCCCGGACACAUACCGUGGAAUAUACAGAGAAGAUCAUAAAGAUUUAGUUACGGCUUAUGCCAAUGAAGUGAAAGAAAUCAUUGAGCAAGCACACAAAAAGGGUAGAAAGAUUGCAGCAUUUUUUGUUGAAUCUCUACCAAGUGUUGCUGGUCAGAUCAUUCCACCAGCAGGCUAUUUCCAAAAGGUAGCAGAACACGUGCACAAAGCAGGAGGUGUAUUUGUUGCUGAUGAAAUUCAAGUAGGUUUUGGCAGAGUUGGCAAACACUUUUGGGCAUUCCAGCUUCAGGGAGAGGAUUUGGUACCAGAUAUCAUCACUAUGGGCAAACCAAUAGGAAAUGGGCACCCUGUUGCCUGUGUAGCAACAACAAAAGAAAUUGCAGAAUCAUUUGCAGCUACUGGAGUGGAAUACUUUAAUACAUUUGGAGGAAAUCCUGUUUCAUGUGCCAUAGGCUUAGCAGUUUUGGAUGUGAUUGAGAAGGAGCAUCUUCAAGCCCAUGCUAUGCAAGUGGGCAACUUCUUGAUGGAAUUACUGAAUCAACAGAAAGUUAAACAUCCUAUCAUUGGCAAUGUCAGGGGUGCUGGAUUAUUUAUUGGAGUGGAUUUAAUAAAAGACCAAGACAAAAGGACCCCAGCUACUGAAGAAGCAGAGUACUUGAUAACAAGACUGAAGAAAGAGUACAUUCUGCUGAGUACUGAUGGUCCAGGAAGAAACGUACUUAAGUUCAAGCCUCCAAUGUGCUUUAGUGUACAGGAUGCCAAAUUAGUUGUGGAUGCAAUGGAUAAAAUAUUAACAGGGGCUCAUAAUGAUCAACUGAAGUUCACAGUUAAGGUCAACACCUGUGUGUCCUCCCCCCCCAAGAAAAUGGUCUCUACAAAUUAAACCCAAGUGAUACAAACUUAAGACCAGUUUUUAAUAUUUGGAUUCUCAAAUGUGUACAGAAGAUAUUCAACCUGUCAAUAAUAACUUGUUGCACAAGCUUCCAUUUGUUUUCAAUUGCCUGGGCACAGGGGGGAGGACUGAUUUAAUUGAUCAGAGGAACAAAGUGUUACAUUUAGACUUAAGUCUGCAGUUUACCACCUGAAUGCAACAGUCGCAAAGUCAACUCACUGGAGUAAAAAGGGGCUUCAACACUUACACAUUUGUUGAUUCCAUAUUCAGAUAUGGAAAAAGAGGCGGCAUGUGAAACAGUGGGAGACCUCAAAUCUUAAGCUUCAAUUUUAAUAGAUCUUCUUGACUGGAUCUUCUUCCUUGAAAGUGAUGAAAACAAAACCUCUCCUUUUGUUGGUCUUUGGAUCCAUCGGAAGUUCAAUUGCUUCAAUCUGAAGACCGGAAAUUAUACUUGAGCAUGCUACUUUAAGAUUCUGCAUUUUCACUAUAUGGUUCCUAUUCUUUAUUUCAGCUUAGCACUUGGUACAUAAGCAGCUACAGUUAGCUAGUCUGUAUUAGCAUUGGCUUUCUCUUAGGCAAAUUUGUUCUAGUUUAUAGAUGUAGUUUGAGAAAAGUAAUUUAAUUAUGAAUAAAUAAGUGACUAAAAAAAAUCAA